RNAcentral lists this ribosomal RNA (1248 nucleotides) under Lamotteus ornatus. Its description in RNAcentral is "partial large subunit ribosomal RNA". The stretch from base 790 to 1248 matches the Rfam family "Bacterial large subunit ribosomal RNA", at positions 2048 to 2732 of the family's 2925-position model. The record is from RNAcentral. Lineage: Eukaryota; Metazoa; Arthropoda; Insecta; Hemiptera; Reduviidae.
AAUGAGUUAAUUAUGUUUGUUUUUAUGUAAUUUAUAUUAAUAGAAAUAUCUUAUUUUUAAGUAAUUCAUAUUGAAUUAAUUUUUUUAAUUAUAGCUUAUAGUACCGUGAGGGAAUUUUCUUAAUUUGAUGUAAGUAGACUUAAUUUUUUGUACCUUUUGUAUCAGGGAUGAUUAAUUUUUAAUAUUUAUUUGGUUUUCCCGAAAUUAAAGGAGAUACUAAUAUAUGUUAGUUAAUGUUUCAUAAUUAUUAAUAAUGUAUUAGUAGUAAUGAAAAGUUAUUCGUCUUUAAAUAUCUGGUUUUCUUGGAAGUGAAUUUAAUUCAGAAUCAUUAAUUUAUCUUUUUAAUUGAAUUAUUGGGUUUUUAAUGUUUUAAGGUUUUUGGGGAUAAGCUCGGAAUCUUCUUUAUAAUUAUGUAUUAUAUUAGUUUAGGUAGGCCUGGAAUCAGCCAUCUUUAUUUCGUUAUAGAAUAUUCUUGUUUAAUUAUUAUUUAUUAUAAAUUUAAUUUUAUACUGGAAUUUGAAUUUAAUUUGUAAAUUUCUGUAAUAAUGAUUAUAUUAGUAUUUAAGUAAAAUAAAGUAUAGUAACUCGGCAAAUAUAAUGUUCGCCUGUUUAACAAAAACAUGUCCUUUUGUUUAUUUAUUAAAGGUUUGGCCUGCCCAAUGAAGGUUUUAAUGGCCGCGGUAAAUUAACCGUGCUAAGGUAGCAUAAUCAUUUGUCUUUUAAUUGAGGGCUUGAAUGAAGGGUUAGACGAAACAUUAGCUUUCUUUACUUUAAUUUUAAAAUUUAUCUUUUUAGUAAAAAGGCUAAAAUUUAUCUGUGGGACGAGAAGACCCUAUAGAUCUUUAUAAAUUAUAAUUAUUAAUUUUUUGGUUAAUUUAUGUUUAAUUUUUUAUAAUUUAUUUAAUUGGGGUGAUUACAGAGAAUUAAUAACUUCUGUUUAAGGAUUUCAUAGAUUAGUGUAAUAAUGAUCCAUUAAUAAUGAUUAUAAGAUCAAGUUACCUUAGGGAUAACAGCGUAAUUUUUUCGGAGAGUUCAUAUCGAUGAAGGAGUUUGCGACCUCGAUGUUGGAUUAAAAUAAGUAUUAGGUGUAGCAAUUUAAUAACUAGGUCUGUUCGACCUUUAAUUUUUUACAUGAUCUGAGUUCAGACCGGCGUGAGCCAGGUCAGUUUCUAUCUUCAGUUAUUAUUUGUGUCUUAGUACGAAAGGACCAGGCACAAGGAAGAAUUUCUUUUUAUAUUGAUUAAUACU